AUACGAAGGGUGCAAGCGUUAUCCGGAUUCAUUGGGUUUAAAGGGUGCGUAGGCGGGACAGCAAGUCAGCGGUGAAAGCCCGUGGCUUAACUACGGAAUUGCCGUUGAUACUGUUGUUCUUGAGUACGCUUGACGUGGGCGGAAUGUGCCGUGUAGCGGUGAAAUGCAUAGAUAUGGCACAGAACACCGAUAGUGAAGACAGCUCACGAAGGCGAAACUGACGCUGAGGCACGAAAGCGUGGGGAUCAAACAGGAUUAGAUACCCUGGUAGUCCACGCCGUAAACGAUGAUCACUCGUGGUUGGCGAUAUACGGCCAGUCACCUAGCGAAAGCGUUAAGUGAUCCACCUGGGGAGUACGAUCGCAAGAUUGAA
This 373-nucleotide ribosomal RNA is filed under the name uncultured bacterium. RNAcentral describes it as "bacterial SSU rRNA". It matches the Rfam family "Bacterial small subunit ribosomal RNA", at positions 523 to 898 of the family's 1533-position model. The record is from RNAcentral.